RNAcentral lists this ribosomal RNA (497 nucleotides) under uncultured bacterium. Its description in RNAcentral is "partial 16S ribosomal RNA". It matches the Rfam family "Bacterial small subunit ribosomal RNA", at positions 28 to 507 of the family's 1533-position model. The record is from RNAcentral.
GAUGAACGCUGGCGGCGUGCCUAAUACAUGCAAGUCGAGCGAACAGACGAGGAGCUUGCUCCUCUGACGUUAGCGGCGGACGGGUGAGUAACACGUGGAUAACCUACCUAUAAGACUGGGAUAACUUCGGGAAACCGGAGCUAAUGCCGGAUAAUAUAUUGAACCGCAUGGUUCAAUAGUGAAAGACGGUUUUGCUGUCACUUAUAGAUGGAUCCGCGCCGCAUUAGCUAGUUGGUAAGGUAACGGCUUACCAAGGCAACGAUGCGUAGCCGACCUGAGAGGGUGAUCGGCCACACUGGAACUGAGACACGGUCCAGACUCCUACGGGAGGCAGCAGUAGGGAAUCUUCCGCAAUGGGCGAAAGCCUGACGGAGCAACGCCGCGUGAGUGAUGAAGGUCUUCGGAUCGUAAAACUCUGUUAUUAGGGAAGAACAAAUGUGUAAGUAACUAUGCACGUCUUGACAGUACCUAAUCAGAAAGCCACGGCUAACUACGUG